AAUAAUUAGGGUGUGUGUGUAUAAUAAGGUAUUUUAUAUAUGAUAAUUGAAUCAUUCUAUGUGGCGUGAGUUGAAACUUAAAAGAGUACAAAAAUUGCUAUACCUUAAAUUUUACUCUUAUUUGAAAUUUUGAAUAGUCUAUAAUGGGAUAUUGUUUGAUAGUAAUUAUUUAAUGUCCUCCGAUUGUAUGUUUGUUUGAUGUCAUUUGUUGCUUGGGCGAGUCUGUGCUGCUGUAUGUUUACAUUUAUUUGCUAUUUCUAAACUUUUGUUAUUCCCUCCCUUGUUAAUUGCAUCAAAAUUUCCACUAUAUUUGUCUUUUUUCUUUAUGCUGUCAUUGGGACUUCAUAUCCCAUGAACUGUUUGGCUAGGUGAUUCUUUCAUGCUGAGUGUGUUUUGGUGUUGUUUUUCCUACUGUGCAACUGUGGUUUUUGAACAAUUUACCUUCUUGUCUGUCUCACAAUUGAAGGUUCCAUCUUUCUUAUGCUUCUCGGCUGCAGACAUCGUUUUCUUUUGUUGAUUAAACAAAAAGGUAUUGAGCAUUUUGAAGCAACAUCACCAAACUUUUGUCCUGAAGUUUAUUUCUUAUUAGUGCAUUAAAAUUCACCAAUAUGUGAUAAUGUUAUGAGUUAGAGCAUUAAAUCUGAUUUGUAUAUUGAGGUAUAAGUUCAUGAUUUGUAUAUU
This 681-nucleotide long non-coding RNA is filed under the name Trifolium pratense (red clover). RNAcentral describes it as "long non-coding RNA (TPRA_LNC012345)". The record is from RNAcentral. Lineage: Eukaryota; Viridiplantae; Streptophyta; Magnoliopsida; Fabales; Fabaceae.